UCGUGAAAUCUGAUCAUUUUCGAAAGGAUGGAACAGAAAGCUUUUCUGUGUUUCUGAUCUUAACCAGUCAAUAACUUGUAUAAAUGAGCGUUUGUGUUUUGUGAUUCAGUCAAAAUACAGGUCAUUGUGCAUUUUAUGGCGGAUGUUAAUCAACUAUAAACAAAACAAGAUGAACAAAUGAUUGCAGGAUUCCAGUUUGCACUAUUGUUGGUGCGCUACAGUCGUUAUGUGCUGACAGACAGGUUACGUUUCAAACACUAAACAUACAAAUCAUCUUCCUAAUAAUUGAAGUUUGCAUGAAUUAAAUGUAAAUGAUUUUCAUCCUGAAAUGUUUAUGAAAUAGACGAUCAAGUGCGGUAGCACUGUUUCUCGGUGCCUGCAUGGCACCGAAUUAAUACAUGUACGUGACGUCAAUAUUGCCUUUGUUUUAACGGAAAUGUGCAGUGAUAUUUCAUGUUAGAAUUUCGUUUAUCAUCGGUCACGAAUUCAUUGUUUCAAAUUAAAAGUAAACCACUA
Mercenaria mercenaria is the source of this 516-nucleotide long non-coding RNA. RefSeq lists it as uncharacterized. The record is from RefSeq and is a predicted model, not a curated record. Lineage: Eukaryota; Metazoa; Mollusca; Bivalvia; Venerida; Veneridae. The transcript has 2 exons.